GUCAGUGGUGAAGACUGGGCGGCUGCUGAUCAGCCAUGAGGCCCCCCUGACAGGAGGCUUUGCAUCGGAGAUUAGUUCCACUGUUCAGGAAGAGUGCUUCUUGAAUCUAGAGGCUCCUAUUUCAAGAGUAUGUGGCUACGACACUCCUUUCCCUCAUAUAUUUGAACCUUUCUACAUCCCAGACAAAUGGAAAUGCUAUGAUGCCCUUCGAAAAAUGAUUAAUUAUUGAUGAAAUUAUUGAUGAAGUCUACAACUGUUCUAACCAGAAGAUGGGAGGAAGAACAAGAAUAUACGGAAGCCUUCUUUAGAACUCUUGGCGUUUAUUCAGAUGUGUGUUUUCUGGAAGUCCUGUAGCAGAUUAUCUUCUCUGAAGUAAAUCCAUCCUGAAUGUCAUCUUGGCUAAUCUUCAAAAGCUCAAAUUUUCCCCUAAUUAUGAAAUCAGUGAUGGACAGGUGAUUGCUGUAAUAAAUAGUUUCAAAUGUAUUAACGAAAUAAAUUCCAGAUGUAGUAUGAACUUUAUUCACUUUGCAAUGCUUCACUAGGAUACAUCUUUAAAUGACUUCACUGUGUAAAUAUUAUGUGGGAUUUUAUUCAAUAAAACAUAUUGUACUCA
Non-coding RNA from Chelonoidis abingdonii (Abingdon island giant tortoise), 613 nucleotides. NCBI's taxonomy places the organism in Eukaryota, Metazoa, Chordata, Testudines, Testudinidae. The record is from RefSeq and is a predicted model, not a curated record.